This 506-nucleotide ribosomal RNA is filed under the name uncultured bacterium. RNAcentral's name for it is "partial 16S ribosomal RNA". It matches the Rfam family "Bacterial small subunit ribosomal RNA", at positions 29 to 526 of the family's 1533-position model. The record is from RNAcentral.
AGUGAACGCUGGCGGUAGGCCUAACACAUGCAAGUCGAACGGCAGCACAGGAGAGCUUGUUCUCUGGGUGGCGAGUGGCGGACGGGUGAGGAAUACAUCGGAAUCUACUCUGUCGUGGGGGAUAACGUAGGGAAACUUACGCUAAUACCGCAUACGACCUACGGGUGAAAGCAGGGGACCUUCGGGCCUUGCGCGAUUGAAUGAGCCGAUGUCGGAUUAGCUAGUUGGCGGGGUAAAGGCCCACCAAGGCGACGAUCCGUAGCUGGUCUGGGAGGAUGAUCAGCCACACUGGAACUGAGACACGGUCCAGACUCCUACGGGAGGCAGCAGUGGGGAAUAUUGGACAAUGGGCGCAAGCCUGAUCCAGCCAUACCGCGUGGGUGAAGAAGGCCUUCGGGUUGUAAAGCCCUUUUGUUGGGAAAGAAAUCCAGCUGGCUAAUACCCGGUUGGGAUGACGGUACCCAAAGAAUAAGCACCGGCUAACUUCGUGCCAGCCGCCGUAAAAC